This is a long non-coding RNA of Dioscorea cayenensis subsp. rotundata (Guinea yam), 471 nucleotides long. RefSeq lists it as uncharacterized. Lineage: Eukaryota; Viridiplantae; Streptophyta; Magnoliopsida; Dioscoreales; Dioscoreaceae. The record is from RefSeq and is a predicted model, not a curated record. The transcript is spliced from 3 exons.
GGGAAUUCUCUGAAGAGUUAGAAGAAUUCCAUUGUGAAUAACGUCCAUGACUAUACUUGUUGUUCUCUUGCAGAAAGUGCUUGAGUUGAAGGAGAUUUGCCUUCUCAUCUCCUGAUGCUGCAACAACAUGACACCUGGGGAUAAGAGAAGGGAGAGGAGGAAUAGAAGAGCAAGGAAAGAGAAGAACUGGAAGUUCACCACCAACACCUCCUCUGCUUCAGACAUGUCACAACAACUACAAACAUGAGAUCAGCAUUCUGCCGCCGCAAUGUAAUACCAGGUUAUGUUUUUGUGAGAGCUUUGGAAUACUAAUCCUGAUUGUUCAUCUCCAGCUUCAUUGUCCUGUCCACUGGUUUGUUUUCUUCAAACCCACUCCUUAUGACCAUUUGAUUGUGACUUUUUACUUUGUUUUUUUCUAUAUAUUUGUUAUGAAAUUUCUCCAUAUAACCCCUAGCAAAAAAUUCCAAUGCU